RNAcentral lists this RNase P RNA (324 nucleotides) under uncultured Eubacterium sp. Its description in RNAcentral is "Bacterial RNase P class A". It matches the Rfam family "Bacterial RNase P class A". Rfam says of the family: Ribonuclease P (RNase P) is a ubiquitous endoribonuclease, found in archaea, bacteria and eukarya as well as chloroplasts and mitochondria. Its best characterised activity is the generation of mature 5'-ends of tRNAs by cleaving the 5'-leader elements of precursor-tRNAs. Lineage: Bacteria; Bacillati; Bacillota; Clostridia; Eubacteriales; Eubacteriaceae. The record is from RNAcentral.
AGUUGUCCAGACGGUUGCGCGCUCAGAAACUGAGCGUGAGGAAAGUCCGAGCAGCACAGAGCAGGAUGACGGCUAACGGCCGCCGAGGGUGACCUUAGGGAAAGUGCAACAGAAAUAAACCGCCGUAUUUACGGUAAGGGUGGAAAGGCGAGGUAAGAGCUCACCGAGCGGGUGGAGACAUCCGCUGCCAUGUAAACCCCAUCCGCUGCAACGCCGACCGGAGAGCUGUUUGCUCGACACAUAACUCCGACGGGCGGCUUGAGCGUAGCGGCAACGCUGCGUCGAGAUAGAUAAUCGUCCACGACAGAACUCGGCUUACGGGCA